Molecule: RNA transcript, 3890 nt
Organism: Oncorhynchus keta (chum salmon)
Lineage: Eukaryota; Metazoa; Chordata; Actinopteri; Salmoniformes; Salmonidae
Gene name: borealin-2-like
Exons: 4
Source: RefSeq, a predicted model, not a curated record
GAAGGAGAAGGAGAAGGAGAAGGAGAAGGAGAAGGAGAAGGAGAAGGAGAAGGAGAAGGAGAAGGAGAAGGAGAAGGAGAAGCAGCAGCAAUCAGACAGAAGGACACGCAGAUGGUCAAAUUAGCAAGGAGAUACGCCAAAAGCAACGGACGCUUUGUAUUCAACAGUUCGAGAAAGGUUGUUCAUUUUAACGGAUGGCAAUUCGGCAGGUGAAGUCACCAUCGCCAUAAAGGUAGGACUUGCUUAUUAUCAGACAGGCUGUAACUGGCUGCCUCCUUGUGGCAUACUACAGAAAUGUCAGAACAUAACGUUUUUUACAGACCGAAUCACCCGAGAUUCACCAGCCUCUCACAAGGAAGGUCAGUAAAGGUAAUGGUUUAUUUCCUCCAUUAGUUAACUUAAAUGCGUGAACUUGCCAUUAACGAUACACUUCGUAUUUCUGUAGUCAAAGUAAGUGAAGGUGCAUCAGCUCAUAAAAGGAAGACUACAAAAGAACCAUCAAAGGUAGCUAGCAAUUCAAUUUAAAUGGCUUUAAUAUCAUGGGAAACGUAUUGUAAUGAAAUAGCAGGGAGCAGGUCUCGAACCCUCGACCUUCUAGACCGAAGUCCAGCGCGCAAUCGACUGCCUCAGAGUCGAUGUCCGCGCUUAUAAACACAGGGUCGUUACAGUAUAUUUACAUUGGCAAAGCACGUGACAGGAAUAAUAAACUGUUAAAUAAACAAGCAAAAAUGAACAGUAAGCAUUACUCACAAUUUUCAAAUGAAUACAUUUCAAAUGUCACAUGGCUAUGUACAGUGUUAUAACGAUGCAAUAGUCUACCACGGUGUACUACCUGGUUAGGUUCAAAUAGCAUUCCAGUUUGCGCUGUUUUUUUUUUUGGUAGUCUUUCCAAUAUGUCAAGUAAUCUUUUUUGUUUUCUCAUGAUUUGGUUGGGUCUAAUCGUGUGGCUGUCCUGAGGCUCUUUGGGGUCUGUUUAUGACCAGAGCCCCUGGACCAGCUUUCUUAAGGACUCUUUAGGUUAAUCUCUCUGUAGGUGAUGGCUGUAUGUAAGGUUUGUGAAUUGCUUAUUUUAAGGCAGUUAUAAAAUGUAAUGGGUAUUGGCCUAAUUCUGCUCUGCAUGCAUUUUGUUUUUCACCCAUGUUUUUGCAGAGUCUCAAAUUGGUGUUUGUCCAAUUUGUAUUUGUUGGUGAGUGGAUCCCAGACCUUACAACCAUAAAGGGCAAUAGGUUCUAUAACUGAUUCAAGUAUCUUUUUGUAAUUGGGAUGUUGAAUUGUAUGUUCCUUUUGAUGGUGUAGAAGGCCAUUGCCGCCUUGUCUCAGAUCUUUCACAAUAUUGUGGAAGUUAGCUCUGGUGCUGAGGUAGGUAAAGUUUAGAUCCCACUUUAUUUGCAUGGCAUUAGGCCAAUGUGUGAUUGGGAACAGAGCAGGCAUUUCUCCUUAAAUAUAUACAAUGUAAUACAAUGACUUUCUUCUAAAGGUUUCCAAGAAAGCCAGAUCACUUGCCAAUGGCUCAAGCACUGGAAGCGUACGGUAUGUCUCCCUAUACAUUAUCAGUCCUGGCGAGCAACCGGUUGGUUGCUAGUUUUGUUCCAGUCCACCACUUAUUAAACGCCCUCUUCAGUAGCGUUCGAAACGCCCUCUUCAGUAGCGUUCGAAACGCCCUCUUCUGGUCGAUUCCGCUCAUUUGCUCUUGCAGGAGUGCCACAUCCACAAGUACAAAAAUAACUAAAACUCGCAUUGCCAAAAUCAGUGAUCAAUCUCCACUGACUGGGAUGAAACACAGGUUUGUCUUCACUUAUCACUUUCCAUUAUGAAAAAGAUUGCAGUCAGAGUGCAGUUAUUCUGCAGUUACUAGGUCCAAAAUACUAUUAGUCAACUGCACUGUCACUAGUUUCAAAACGGUCAUCUUUUAAGGGAUGCCUGAGUUUAUCAAAUUAAUUCUGCCCUAAAUUCUCCUUGGUUUCUAGAUCUGUUUUGCGGUCAGCCAGUGAUGACCACCUGCAUUGCUACCUGUCUGGAUUGUCUCCACAUGUAAUGAUCUCUACAUCCCAUGGAGAGACGUUGUGCCUCUCGGAUGAUACUGUUGAAGAUGUUGACAUCGGGUUACUGGAUGAUAUGGCUGUUCUCCAGAUGCAGAAGUUGAUGCAGGGGCACCUCUCUCCUCGUACAGACCUGUUGCCACACUGCUCCCCAGCCUGUUAGCAAAGUGUCGGUCGUCAAUACCUCUCGCCUUGCCGGAAUUGAUCUGAGAUGGUCACCUGUAGUCAGGUAGGCUCUCCUCCACGGCCACAGAGUAGCACACACAAAGUUGCUGAACAUAGGUGGGAACAGGAACACGCUGUCGAUCCAGAGUAUCCCAUCAUGCUCAAUGGGUGACGUGUCUGGUGAGUAUGUAGGCCAUGGAACAACUGGUACAUAUUCAGCUUCCAGGAAUUGUGUACAGAUCCUUGCGACAGGGGGCCAUGCAUUAUGCUUUAACAUGUGAUGGUGGCGGCUGAAUGGCACGACAAUGUGCCUGAGGAUCUCGUCACUGUGUGCAUUCAAAUCGAUAAAACAAUUGUUUUCAUUGUCCAUAGCUUAUGCCUGCUCAAAGCAUAACCCUACCGCCACCAUGGGGAAACUGUUCACAACGUUGACAUCAGCAAACCGCUCGCCCACACAACGCCAUACGUCUGCCUGGCACAUUUGAAAUUGUGAUUAAUCCGCAGAGUAUCCUCCAGCAGCCAUCGAAGGUUGGUUACGACACCAAACUGGAGUCAGGUCAAGACAAGUACACAGAUGAGCUUCGCCGAGACUGUUUUGAGUUUGUGCAGAAAUUCUUUGGUUGUGCAAAUCCAUUUAUCAACUGUCGGUUGUCUGAUCUCAAACAAUCCGUGGUGAAGAAGCCAGAUGUGGAGGACCUGGGCUGGUGUGGUUCAUGGUCUGCAGUUGGACCUACUGCCAAAUACUCUGAAGUGACAUUGGAUGUGGCUUAUGGUAUAGAAAUUAAAUUUCAAAUCCCUGGCAACAGUUCUGGUGCUUUAAUCAGCUUCUUGAUAUGCCACACUUGUUCGGUGGAUGGAUUCUCAGCGAAGGAGAAAUGCUCACUGACAGUAAACACAUUUGUGCAAAAAAAAUUGUAGAGAAAAGCUUUUUAUGCAUAUGGGAAAAAUCGAUGAUCUUUUAUUUCAGUUCAUGAAACCAACACUUGACAUUUUGCAUUUAUAUUUUUGUUCAGUGUAAUAACACAUUAUGACACAGGCUGCAUUUACACAGGCAGCCCAAUUAUUGGUAAGAGCCAACCUGAUUGGUCAAAAGACAAAUUAGUAGAAGAUCAGAAUUGGGCUUCAAGUGUAAAGAGCAGCUCUAGUGCAAUGUUUCCUAACACCAGUCCUUGAGUAUCCACAACAGCACACAUUUUGUUGUAGCCACAGACAAGUAAACUUAAUCAAGCCCUCAAUGAGCUGAAUCAGCCAAGUUUGUCCAGGGCAAUAAACAGGAGUGCUGUUGUGGGUACUCAGACUGGAGUUGGUAAACACAAAUAACCAGCUCAUCAAGCUUUGAUUAUUUUGGCCACUAGAGGCCUCUAUCAUUCUCUAUGAUACCCAUCAACAUUAAUGAAAAAGGACUGAGAUGGUAACCAAGAAAUUUUCCUGACGGAUUAAAGUCAUUUCCCAGACAAGCACAAGACAGAAUCACAAACAUCAAGUAUUGCUGUUUGAGAUUUGAAUAACUUUUAUUUAACAACUUAAUAAACCUUUUUUUUCACAGAAGUUAAGCUGCUUUUAAAUUGUAUUUUUUCAGCUUCUCUCGUUAGAUUGGAUGUUUAAUCGGUGCAGGAACCAAUGCGGUCUUAACAUGCACCAGGGUUGAGGACAAAUACAGGCGUUUUUUCUAUUUGUAUCACACCA